RNAcentral lists this ribosomal RNA (921 nucleotides) under uncultured bacterium. RNAcentral describes it as "bacterial SSU rRNA". It matches the Rfam family "Bacterial small subunit ribosomal RNA", at positions 85 to 1018 of the family's 1533-position model. The record is from RNAcentral.
UAUGAGUAAAGUGGCGCACGGGUGAGUAAUACUUGGAUAAUGCGCCUCUUCGCUGGGGAUAACCAGGCGAAAGCUUGGCUAAUACCGAAUAGUCCGACUGGAACUUUGGUUUCGGUCGGUAAAGCCGUAAGGCGCGGAGAGAGUAGUCCAAGUCCCAUUAGCUAGUUGGUAGGGUAAUGGCCUACCAAGGCAACGAUGGGUAGCUGGUCUGAGAGGACGAUCAGCCACACUGGAACUGGAACACGGUCCAGACUCCUACGGGAGGCAGCAGUUAGGAAUUUUGCGCAAUGGGGGAAACCCUGACGCAGCAACGCCGCGUGAAGGACGAAGGCCCUCGGGUUGUAAACUUCUUUUAGCAGGAAAGAAAAAAAUGACGGUACCUGCAGAAAAAGCACCGGCUAACUCUGUGCCAGCAGCCGCGGUAAUACAGAGGGUGCAAGCGUUAUUCGGAAUUACUGGGCGUAAAGAGCGCGUAGGCGGUUUGUUAAGUUCGUUGUGAAAGCCCUGGACUCAAUCCGGGAAGUGCAGCGAAUACUGUCGAACUAGAGUAUGGGAGAGGAGAAUGGAAUUCCUGGUGUAGAGGUGAAAUUCGUAGAUAUCAGGAGGAACAACAGUGGCGAAGGCGAUUCUCUGGACCAUUACUGACGCUGAGGCGCGAAAGCGUGGGGAGCAAACAGGAUUAGAUACCCUGGUAGUCCACGCCGUAAACGAUGGAUGCUAGAUGUCGGGAGUUCUUACCCUCUCGGUGUCGUCGCUAACGCAUUAAGCAUCCCGCCUGGGGAGUACGGUCGCAAGAUUAAAACUCAAAGAAAUUGACGGGGGCCCGCACAAGCGGUGGAGUAUGUGGUUUAAUUCNAUGCAACGCGAAAAANCUUACCUGGGCUUGACAUCUGGUGCUAUCCGGUGAAAGCCGGAGUUUCC